This 566-nucleotide ribosomal RNA is filed under the name Psychrobacter sp. s_G6-10. RNAcentral's name for it is "bacterial SSU rRNA". It matches the Rfam family "Bacterial small subunit ribosomal RNA", at positions 170 to 733 of the family's 1533-position model. Lineage: Bacteria; Pseudomonadati; Pseudomonadota; Gammaproteobacteria; Moraxellales; Moraxellaceae. The record is from RNAcentral.
CGCAUACGACCUACGGGAGAAAGGGGGCAGUUUACUGCUCUCGCUAUUAGAUGAGCCUAAGUCGGAUUAGCUAGAUGGUGGGGUAAAGGCCUACCAUGGCGACGAUCUGUAGCUGGUCUGAGAGGAUGAUCAGCCACACCGGGACUGAGACACGGCCCGGACUCCUACGGGAGGCAGCAGUGGGGAAUAUUGGACAAUGGGGGAAACCCUGAUCCAGCCAUGCCGCGUGUGUGAAGAAGGCCUUUUGGUUGUAAAGCACUUUAAGCAGUGAAGAAGACUCCAUGGUUAAUACCCAUGGACGAUGACAUUAGCUGCAGAAUAAGCACCGGCUAACUCUGUGCCAGCAGCCGCGGUAAUACAGAGGGUGCAAGCGUUAAUCGGAAUUACUGGGCGUAAAGGGAGCGUAGGUGGCUCUAUAAGUCAGAUGUGAAAUCCCCGGGCUUAACCUGGGAACUGCAUCUGAAACUGUAGAGCUAGAGUAUGUGAGAGGAAGGUAGAAUUCCAGGUGUAGCGGUGAAAUGCGUAGAGAUCUGGAGGAAUACCGAUGGCGAAGGCAGCCUUCUGGC